Small nucleolar RNA from Molossus molossus (Pallas's mastiff bat), 117 nucleotides. RefSeq annotates it as small nucleolar RNA SNORA32. NCBI's taxonomy places the organism in Eukaryota, Metazoa, Chordata, Mammalia, Chiroptera, Molossidae. The transcript has a single exon. The record is from RefSeq and is a predicted model, not a curated record.
AGGUUCCUUUUAAAUCUAAAUCCUGUGAUUCUAUUGUAGUGGACAUGACCACAGAAUAUUUUCCCACUAGGUUUUCUUUCUGCUAUGUUGGUAGCAUUCAGCCCACUGGGAACAUUU